Molecule: transfer RNA, 47 nt
Filed under: Pontibacillus chungwhensis BH030062
Lineage: Bacteria; Bacillati; Bacillota; Bacilli; Caryophanales; Bacillaceae
Rfam family: tRNA
About the family: Transfer RNA (tRNA) molecules are approximately 80 nucleotides in length. Their secondary structure includes four short double-helical elements and three loops (D, anti-codon, and T loops).
Source: Rfam by way of RNAcentral
GAGCCAUUAGCUCAGUUGGUAGAGCAUCUGACUUUUAAUCAGAGGGU